This 320-nucleotide ribosomal RNA is filed under the name uncultured eukaryote. Its description in RNAcentral is "partial 18S ribosomal RNA". It matches the Rfam family "Eukaryotic small subunit ribosomal RNA", at positions 1470 to 1796 of the family's 1831-position model. The record is from RNAcentral.
CCCUUAGACGUUCUGGGCUGCACGCGCGCUACACUGACACACCCAGCGAGUCUCCUGCCCUGACAGGGUUGGGUAAUCAUUGGAGUGUGUGUCGUGAUGGGGAUAGAGUAUUGCAAUUAUUGCUCUCGAACGAGGAAUUCCUAGUAAGCACAAGUCAGCAGCUUGUGCUGAUUACGUCCCUGCCCUUUGUACACACCGCCCGUCGCUCCUACCGAGGGGGUGAUCCGGUGAAUGAUUCGGACUUUGGCGUUUCUAGCUGCUAGCAGCGCUGAAGAAAGUUUUGUGAACCUUAUCACUUGGAGGAAGGAGAAGUCGUAACA